GGCUGGCUUGUAGACAGUAAGUAAUCUCAGUUGACAGUCCAAAAUCAGUUACAGAUAGAAUUCCUUCUUCUCCUCUUUUCCCCAUUCUCACUGGUAUGCUUGACUUGUCUAAA
Otolemur garnettii (small-eared galago) is the source of this 113-nucleotide unclassified non-coding RNA. It matches the Rfam family "Y RNA". Rfam says of the family: Y RNAs are components of the Ro ribonucleoprotein particle (Ro RNP), in association with Ro60 and La proteins. The Y RNAs and Ro60 and La proteins are well conserved, but the function of the Ro RNP is not known. Lineage: Eukaryota; Metazoa; Chordata; Mammalia; Primates; Galagidae. The record is from Ensembl.